This 404-nucleotide ribosomal RNA is filed under the name Actinomycetes bacterium. Its description in RNAcentral is "Actinobacteria bacterium partial 16S ribosomal RNA". It matches the Rfam family "Bacterial small subunit ribosomal RNA", at positions 355 to 776 of the family's 1533-position model. Lineage: Bacteria; Bacillati; Actinomycetota; Actinomycetes. The record is from RNAcentral.
UGGGGAAUCUUGCGCAAUGGGCGAAAGCCUGACGCAGCCAUGCCGCGUGAAUGAUGAAGGUCUUAGGAUUGUAAAAUUCUUUCACCGGGGACGAUAAUGACGGUACCCGGAGAAGAAGCCCCGGCUAACUUCGUGCCAGCAGCCGCGGUAAUACGAAGGGGGCUAGCGUUGCUCGGAAUUACUGGGCAUAAAGGGAGCGUAGGCGGACAUUUAAGUCAGGGGUGAAAUCCCGGGGCUCAACCUCGGAAUUGCCUUUGAUACUGGGUGUCUUGAGUAUGAGAGAGGUGUGUGGAACUCCGAGUGUAGAGGUGAAAUUCGUAGAUAUUCGGAAGAACACCAGUGGCGAAGGCGACACACUGGCUCAUUACUGACGCUGAGGCUCGAAAGCGUGGGGAGCAAACAGG